CAGUCGCCGCGGGAAUACAGAGGGUGCGAGCGUUAAUCGGAUUUACUGGGCGUAAAGCGUGCGUAGGCGGCUAAUUGAGUCGGAUGUGAAAUCCCCGAGCUUAACUUGGGAAUUGCAUUCGAUACUGAUUAGCUAGAGUGUGGGAGAGGAUGGUAGAAUUCCAGGUGUAGCGGUGAAAUGCGUAGAGAUCUGGAGGAAUACCGAUGGCGAAGGCAGCCAUCUGGCCUAACACUGACGCUGAGGUACGAAAGCAUGGGGAGCAAACAGGAUUAGAUACCCGCGUAGUCCCUGUCUCUUAUAC
This 301-nucleotide ribosomal RNA is filed under the name uncultured bacterium. RNAcentral's name for it is "partial 16S ribosomal RNA". It matches the Rfam family "Bacterial small subunit ribosomal RNA", at positions 509 to 807 of the family's 1533-position model. The record is from RNAcentral.